CUCUUUCAUGUCCUAUAAUUUUUAAUACAUAACAGGAUUACUGUGCUAUUAAGAGCACAACAGUUUUUAUGCUCGUAACUUUCUAACCACCUAUUCAGGAUUACUGUACUAUUAGGAGUACAGCAGUGCUUGUGCUCCUAACUUUCUAACCACCAAUCCAAUUUGAUGAGUUGUUAGGAUGAGAGAGAGCGAAGAGAAAUUGGGAAGAAAUUUGUGUCUCAAUUUCUUUUUUCUUUGAAUUUCUCUUAAACUUUUUUUCUAUUUUUCAUCUUAACUAUUCAUAAAACUUGAUAAAUGAUUAGAAAGUUAGGAGCAAAAUUGAUGAAUAGUUAUAAAGUUAGGAGUACAAAAGCUAGUGUGCUCCUAAUAACACAUUAGCCCUACUCAUUAUAUAUAUAUAUAUAUAUAUAUAUAGAGUAGGGCUGCUGUGCUCUCAGGAGCACGGAGGCCCCUGAGUCGUUUUCGAUAAUGGAGUUUUCGAAUCGACGAUCGGCUCCGUUAAACUUGAUCUAGUGUAUUUAAAGUUUCUAGAAAAUAAUUUUUGUGAUUUUUCGAUAUCAUUUACCUAGUGAUCGAAAGGAUUCAAAAUCAAUAAUUUUUAACGGCUGAAAAUAAAAAUCCUAUAAAAAGUGGCGAUAUAGCAUUAAAAUUUUCGAUCAGAAAUAUAGAUCUUGUUGUAGAUGGUAUAAAGAAUUUUCUAUCAAAAUUUCAUCUGAUUUGAAUACUUCU
RNAcentral lists this long non-coding RNA (729 nucleotides) under Ananas comosus (pineapple). RNAcentral's name for it is "long non-coding RNA (ACOM_LNC004094)". The record is from RNAcentral. Lineage: Eukaryota; Viridiplantae; Streptophyta; Magnoliopsida; Poales; Bromeliaceae.